Molecule: long non-coding RNA, 2852 nt
Organism: Canis lupus familiaris (dog)
Lineage: Eukaryota; Metazoa; Chordata; Mammalia; Carnivora; Canidae
Exons: 3
Source: RefSeq, a predicted model, not a curated record
CGUCUAGGUAUGUGAUUGAUGAGCCCAUGGGAAGCAGGGUGGCUUGUGUAUUGGAAUUGGCACCCUAGUAUAGUUGGAAAGAUGAAGGCUCUACAAACCCUCCUGUCUUGGUUGCUGGGGAGGGCAGAGUGCUGCAAUGAGAAGCAUUAGAACCUGGAAAACCAGGCAAUUACCCAAGAUCAAGAUCAAGGUCGAGUUUUGGUCAGAGGCCAGGAAUGCAACACACGGUAGAAUCAUCCAAGUAGACCACUGGACCAGCUCUGUGGGAAACAGUUCAAAGAUGUUCAAAAUGUAAGAGCAAUGUGGUUCCCUUGAGAAGGCUAGAGGUAGCAUAUAAUUAGGAGACCUUGGAUAGAGGUGAGGCUUAACUAUGAUUUUUGUUCAAGGAAAAUCUUGAACUGGUUCCAUUCAGCUUUCAAUUGUAGACAUAGGGAUUUUUCCUGCAAAACCAUGCCAAGUGCCCAAGGGCCCCACCAUCCUUGUUGGGGGCCUACAAGUGUCCUGAGAUAUUGUUUUUUGUGUUGGUCAUAUGGGAUAAGUCCAACUGUGACAUCAUAGCCAAGUUGAGGCCACAGACAACUGUUAUCUAAAGAGUCAGUGAGAAAUCCUCACUGGAUGGCAACCAGUCUAGCCCCUGGGCAUGGGUGAAGCAAAGGGUCGUGCAUAAAUCUAGUUCCUCUUCCGGCUCAAGAUUCAGACAUUAUCAGAGGAAUAAAGAUUCUCAGAUAAAUUGCAGCCAUCAACAAUAAAGGGCUUCCUCAUGAGGGCAAGGAGUGCCAGGUUCGAUGCCACUGUGGGGGAAACGCCCUCUCCCCAUCUCUGUGCUGGGCUCCCACGGGAGGAAGUGCUUGGUUUCGGAAUAUCCUGCAGCUUCACGUGAAACAAUUUCACUUAUUCUGAUUUUGCAUCAAAACUCUCACUGGGCUCUAGCCUCUGGAGACAAAGCCUAUCAACCCAUGCGAACAGGCCCGUGAGAAGGGAUUGAAGUCAUUGUGCUUGGCCCAGGAACUUCUUGCUCUGAAGACUCCUACUCUACUAUUAUCUCUGGCAAGCCUCUCUGUGGCCCCAGGCCUUCCUUUGCGGCUCUCAAAUUACUAUUCUCUUUUGAGUUUCAGGGAUUUUUAAAAGGUGAUAAUCAACCUCUUAGCUGUUUCUACCAUGAAGGAGUUAGUUUUGAAACCCCGUGAAUAGCCGCUUACCUAUCUUGGCCAUUAAUGCCCAGCGUGAUGUCCUACCCACCAGGUGCCUCCUGGGCUCCACUAACUGUCUUCCGGCAGAGUCCUGUGCAACACCUAGGAUCAAAGCAAGAGAGAAAAUGCCCCAUUUUCUUGAUCUGCGCAUUUAAAAUCCAAAGCAGUUGUUUACACAGGAACUCUGGGCAUCACUGUAAAAGAAAAGACCCAAGACUAUUUGCAUCUCUCGGGACAUCCCAUUUCUUUUUUUCAUUUACAUUUUUUUAAAAUUUUUAUUUAUUUAUGAUAGUCACAGAGAGAGAAAGAGAGGCAGAGACACAGGCAGAGAGAGAAGCAGGCUCCAUGCACCGGGAGCCCGACGUGGGAAUCGAUCCUGGGUCUCCAGGAUCGUGCCCUAGGCCAAAGGCAGGCGCCAAACCGCUGCGCCACCCAAGGGACAUCCCAUUUCUAUUACGUAGGAAGUGAUUUUGAGCAGCAGCUGGUCAGGACAGUGUCUUGCUCUACUCAUCCUGGAAAUUACAGCCAUGACUCAUAGUGUGGUGUUGUGACAUCCUAACACCAUGUUUUAUCCUCCCUUCCACUCUACUGGUAGAGUGUAAAUUUGGGGCUGAGUAUGGAAGUUCCAGUGUUAGUGAAUUUCAGUCAGUUUUCAAAUGAAAAAAUCUGAGGCUUGGAAUCUGUUUUAAUGCCCUCCAGAAGCCAGUGAUUGUUUUUCCCCCUGGUGAUUGUUCACAUCUCAGUACUGUCCAACAUUACUUACAAAAUUUUAUGGUAUCUCAAAAAAUUAUUAUUGACGAACUGAUUGAUUCAACAACGGCCAUUUAGCAUUUUUUGGCAGGCGUUGGUGAUCUAGAGAUAGAAUAUGGAGGGGAGCAACAGUUGGAUAAAUAAUGCUGAGCCAUAAAGUUCAAACACGGUGAUCUGGGAGUUUAAGAGAAAUGGCCCAUGUACUUCAUCUGGUGGAUCUUGGAAGACUUCUCAAAGGAGACAGCGUCUGAGCUGACCACAAGGGCUGAGGAGGACACUGACAAGGGUUUCACGAGGAGAGACGUUGCCUGGGUGGAGAACUCUGGAUCCUAGGCUCAACCUCAGAUUCUCAGCGGGGAGGCCCCAGUACAUGUGGUUUUGAUGUGUAACCAGGGCUGAGAACCAAUAGGAAGAAGGGCUCAGGUCUGGUCAGAGACUAGGAAGACUGUCUCAGAGGCCGGGACAGUGUAAGCCAGCUAUUCUCCACCCAUCAGAAGACAAAUAAGAAGAAUUAAAUGAAGCACAAUGACUUCGUUUCCUUGGAAGAUGAAGUUCCUGGAUGUAGAGUGUGUUAAAGUCACCUAGAUUUUUACCAAUGUGGCAAGGAAGGGUCCUUUUCUGGAACAAGGGAGAAAAUGCAAUUCAAACCAAAAAACAGAGCAGAAUCUCCUUUGUCUCAGAUGGCCUAUGCCAGGCGUUGACAAACUCUUCUGCAAGGAGUCAGAAAGUAAAUAUUUCCAGCUUGAUAGACCGCACGGUCUGUCACAACUAUUCAACUAUGCCAUGGUAGUGCAAAAGCAGCUUAAUAAUACAAAAGUGAAUGAGCAGGGCUGUAUUCUAAGAGAACUUUGUUUAUGGACACUGAAAUGUGAAUUUCAUAUAAUUCUUUCAUGUUAUAAAAUAUUAUUCCUC